UGCUCCUGAUUGAUAAACAUUUGAGUGAGUGGCGGACGGGUGAGUAACACGUGGGUAACCUGCCCUAAAGUGGGGGAUAACAUUUGGAAACAGAUGCUAAUACCGCAUAAAACCUAACACCGCAUGGUGUAGGGUUGAAAGAUGGUUUCGGCUAUCACUUUAGGAUGGACCCGCGGUGCAUUAGUUAGUUGGUGAGGUAAAGGCUCACCAAGACCGUGAUGCAUAGCCGACCUGAGAGGGUAAUCGGCCACACUGGGACUGAGACACGGCCCAGACUCCUACGGGAGGCAGCAGUAGGGAAUCUUCCACAAUGGACGAAAGUCUGAUGGAGCAACGCCGCGUGAGUGAAGAAGGUUUUCGGAUCGUAAAACUCUGUUGUUGGAGAAGAAUGUAUCUGAUAGUAACUGAUCAGGUAGUGACGGUAUCCAACCAGAAAGCCACGGCUAACUACGUGCCAGCAGCCGCGGUAAUACGUAGGUGGCAAGCGUUGUCCGGAUUUAUUGGGCGUAAAGCGAGCGCAGGCGGUUUCUUAAGUCUGAUG
RNAcentral lists this ribosomal RNA (541 nucleotides) under Latilactobacillus sakei. Its description in RNAcentral is "bacterial SSU rRNA". It matches the Rfam family "Bacterial small subunit ribosomal RNA", at positions 68 to 594 of the family's 1533-position model. The record is from RNAcentral. Lineage: Bacteria; Bacillati; Bacillota; Bacilli; Lactobacillales; Lactobacillaceae.